Molecule: ribosomal RNA, 116 nt
Filed under: Salmonella enterica
Lineage: Bacteria; Pseudomonadati; Pseudomonadota; Gammaproteobacteria; Enterobacterales; Enterobacteriaceae
Also listed under: 1 other name
Source: RNAcentral
UCUGGCGGCAGUAGCGCGGUGGUCCCACCUGACCCCUUGCCGAACUCAGAAGUGAAACGCCGUAGCGCCGAUGGUAGUGUGGGGUCUCCCCAUGCGAGAGUAGGGAACUGCCAGAC